RNAcentral lists this ribosomal RNA (1364 nucleotides) under uncultured bacterium. RNAcentral's name for it is "bacterial SSU rRNA". It matches the Rfam family "Bacterial small subunit ribosomal RNA", at positions 51 to 1401 of the family's 1533-position model. The record is from RNAcentral.
ACACAUGCAAGUCGAGGGGCAGCGGUGGUGAAGGCUUGCCUUUACCAGCCGGCGACCGGCGCACGGGUGAGUAACACGUAUGCAACCUGCCUGCCACAGCCGGAUAAUCGGGAGAAAUUCCGUCUAAUACGGCAUAAUGCACCUAUGGGACAUCCUGUUGGUGCCAAAGGUUGAUUCCGGUGGCGGAUGGGCAUGCGUCGCAUUAGUUAGUUGGCGGUGUAACGGACCACCAAGACGACGAUGCGUAGGGGUUCUGAGAGGAAGGUCCCCCACACUGGUACUGAGACACGGACCAGACUCCUACGGGAGGCAGCAGUGAGGAAUAUUGGUCAAUGGGCGGGAGCCUGAACCAGCCAAGUCGCGUGAGGGAUGACGGCCCUAUGGGUUGUAAACCUCUUUUGCCGGGGAGCAAAGUGCCGUACGUGUGCGGUUUGGAGAGUACCCGGAGAAAAAGCAUCGGCUAACUCCGUGCCAGCAGCCGCGGUAAUACGGAGGAUGCGAGCGUUAUCCGGAUUUAUUGGGUUUAAAGGGUGCGUAGGCGGACGCUUAAGUCAGCGGUAAAAUUGCGGGGCUCAACCUCGUCGAGCCGUUGAAACUGGGUGCCUUGAGUGGGCGAGAAGUACGCGGAAUGCGUGGUGUAGCGGUGAAAUGCAUAGAUAUCACGCAGAACUCCGAUUGCGAAGGCAGCGUACCGGCGCCCAACUGACGCUGAAGCACGAAGGCGUGGGUAUCGAACAGGAUUAGAUACCCUGGUAGUCCACGCAGUAAACGAUGAAUGCUAGUUGUCCGGGGCGAUUGAGUUCUGGGUGACACAGCGAAAGCGUUAAGCAUUCCACCUGGGGAGUACGCCGGCAACGGUGAAACUCAAAGGAAUUGACGGGGGCCCGCACAAGCGGAGGAACAUGUGGUUUAAUUCGAUGAUACGCGAGGAACCUUACCCGGGCUCAAACGCAGGAGGGAUGUUUUUGAAAGGAGGCAGCCAGCAAUGGUCUCCUGCGAGGUGCUGCAUGGUUGUCGUCAGCUCGUGCCGUGAGGUGUCGGCUUAAGUGCCAUAACGAGCGCAACCCCUACCUACAGUUGCCAUCGCGUGAUGGCGGGCACUCUGUGGGGACUGCCUGCGCAAGCAGUGAGGAAGGCGGGGAUGACGUCAAAUCAGCACGGCCCUUACGUCCGGGGCGACACACGUGUUACAAUGGCAGGUACAGCGGGAAGCCACCCGGCGACGGGGCGCGGAACCCGAAAACCUGUCUCAGUUCGGAUUGGAGUCUGCAACCCGACUCCAUGAAGCUGGAUUCGCUAGUAAUCGCGCAUCAGCCACGGCGCGGUGAAUACGUUCCCGGGCCUUGUACACACAGGCCGUCAAG